RNAcentral lists this ribosomal RNA (497 nucleotides) under uncultured bacterium. RNAcentral's name for it is "partial 16S ribosomal RNA". It matches the Rfam family "Bacterial small subunit ribosomal RNA", at positions 28 to 507 of the family's 1533-position model. The record is from RNAcentral.
GAUGAACGCUGGCGGCGUGCCUAAUACAUGCAAGUCGAGCGAACAGACGAGGAGCUUGCUCCUCUGACGUUAGCGGCGGACGGGUGAGUAACACGUGGAUAACCUACCUAUAAGACUGGGAUAACUUCGGGAAACCGGAGCUAAUACCGGAUAAUAUAUUGAACCGCAUGGUUCAAUAGUGAAAGACGGUUUUGCUGUCACUUAUAGAUGGAUCCGCGCCGCAUUAGCUAGUUGGUAAGGUAACGGCUUACCAAGGCAACGAUGCGUAGCCGACCUGAGAGGGUGAUCGGCCACACUGGCACUGAGGCACGGUCCAGACUCCUACGGGAGGCAGCAGUAGGGAAUCUUCCGCAAUGGGCGAAAGCCUGACGGAGCAACGCCGCGUGAGUGAUGAAGGUCUUCGGAUCGUAAAACUCUGUUAUUAGGGAAGAUCAAAUGUGUAAGUAACUAUGCACAUCUUGACGGUACCUGAUCAGAAAGCCACGGCUAACUACGUG